CGGGUGAGUAAUAUAUAGCUAAUCUGCCCCUUGCUGGAGGACAACAGUUAGAAAUGACUGCUAAUACUCCAUACUCCUUUUUACCAUAAGAUAAAUCGGGAAAGAAUUUCGGCAAGGGAUGAGAUUAUAUCGUAUCAGCUAGUCGGUGGGGUAACGGCCUACCGAGGCUAUGACGCGUAACUGGUCUGAGAGGAUGAUCAGUCACAUUGGAACUGAGACACGGUCCAA
This 228-nucleotide ribosomal RNA is filed under the name uncultured bacterium. RNAcentral describes it as "partial 16S ribosomal RNA". It matches the Rfam family "Bacterial small subunit ribosomal RNA", at positions 103 to 334 of the family's 1533-position model. The record is from RNAcentral.